This 778-nucleotide long non-coding RNA is filed under the name Setaria viridis. Its description in RNAcentral is "long non-coding RNA (SVIR_LNC000277)". The record is from RNAcentral. Lineage: Eukaryota; Viridiplantae; Streptophyta; Magnoliopsida; Poales; Poaceae.
GGCAAGUUAAAGGUCGAUCUCUAAAUUAAAGAUACUCCUUUCAGGCAUCGGCUUACCCUGAAUGAGUCAGGAGCCUCCGGCUAAUAGCUCUACAUUAUAUCCGAAUGUGGAGGAUUACAAAGUACCAAUAGGGUUGUCACCACAUACGGCCUACCUCUAGCAAUCCGUGGGAUGUAAGGCAAAUGAAGGAUAACCCCUAGCCUAGACACCACAUCUAAGCUAUUGAUUACUACUGCAGUCUAAUUAUGUUUGACGUCCCGUAGCAAACUACAACACUCUAUAUAAAUACAAAGUGACAAACCCGCAAGUAAAGAGAACUGAUCUCACUUGGAUAUAAGUACUACCAGUGUAGACUGUAUCAAGGUCUCAAGGUGUACAUGAGAGCAUACAUGUAUAUACAAUGGCAGUAAGGAUAUAUGACUAGAAUAUGAGCAUAUAAGCCAAGCAUAUAAACAUAGCAAGGAUAUAAGACUACUCAUGCAUAUAAGAAUAAAGUAUAACACUGUGGGAAGGAAUCACGAACACUUACUUAAAUCCAAAGAAUGUAGUAGCAUCCGUAGAGGUACAAGAUGGGAGGAGAGUGCCGACACUCCGGAACUCCUCCUGAACACCCCUCACUCUCUCCCUACUCUAAGCACAAGCUAGGAAAAGCUUUUGCCUUUGCAAUGAGGCUCUAAGGUCUCUUGGAUGGUGUGUCCUCAAGGCCCCCCCUCUACUAUUUAUAGAGUGGAGGUGCCUUGGGAGAGUAGAGAUUCUCCAAGCAUCUCAAAGAGGAUCU